UGGAGGGGACAACUCGUCCAGGUUUUGGGCAUGGAGAAGAGGCAAAAGAUUCAAGUUUUUCAGAGGGAGCUCCCUCUCUGCUUGGAACUUGUCAAACAACUGCCCAGGUACUACGGAGAACACAGAUCCUAUUCAAAUUUCAGCUUAAUUUUUGUGUUCUGAGUCGGAAAGUUCGUUUCUUUUGCUUGAAUUGUUCUGCCCUUCAAUCGCCACCCUUCCCGAUAAUGGCGUGGACUCCGACGAAUCAGACGACGACCACAUGAUUGAGGAGUGGAUGGUCAGUGAAGCAAGCCCUAGAAGAUUUUCACUCUGGAAAGGAAGGAUUCCGGGUCGGAUCUCACCAAGCUUCUAUCCGACUGAUCACUGCAUUCAAGGACAAUGCUCAGUACAGGGAUGACAUCAGAUUUCUUAAGAUUUGGUUCCUUUAU
This 428-nucleotide small RNA is filed under the name Malus domestica (apple). Its description in RNAcentral is "sRNA MD06G0061400". The record is from RNAcentral. Lineage: Eukaryota; Viridiplantae; Streptophyta; Magnoliopsida; Rosales; Rosaceae.